GAUGAAUGCUGGCGGCGUGCCUAACACAUGCAAGUCGAGCGGCAGCGCGAGUAGUUUACUACCUGGCGGCGAGCGGCGGACGGCUGAGUAACGCGUGGGAAUCUGCCCUAAAGUGAGGGAUAACGCACCGAAAGGUGUGCUAAUACCGCAUAUGGUCUUCGGAUUAAAGAAUUUAUUCGCUUUAGGAGGAGCCCGCGUCGGAUUAGGUUGUUGGUGAGGUAAUGGCUCACCAAGCCGACGAUCCGUAGCUGGUCUGAGAGGAUGAUCGGCCAGACUGGAACUGAGACACGGUCCAG
This 296-nucleotide ribosomal RNA is filed under the name uncultured bacterium. RNAcentral describes it as "partial 16S ribosomal RNA". It matches the Rfam family "Bacterial small subunit ribosomal RNA", at positions 28 to 334 of the family's 1533-position model. The record is from RNAcentral.